Molecule: ribosomal RNA, 1954 nt
Filed under: Campylobacter jejuni
Lineage: Bacteria; Pseudomonadati; Campylobacterota; Epsilonproteobacteria; Campylobacterales; Campylobacteraceae
Description: partial 23S ribosomal RNA
Rfam family: Bacterial large subunit ribosomal RNA
Source: RNAcentral
UCAGGCGGCGAGUGAUAAAAUCCGUCGUCAAGAGGGAAACAACCCAGACUACCAGCUAAGGUCCCUAAGUCUUACUUAAGUGGAAAACGAUGUGAAGUUACUUAAACAACCAGGAGGUUGGCUUAGAAGCAGCCAUCCUUUAAAGAAAGCGUAAUAGCUCACUGGUCUAGUGAUUUUGCGCGGAAAAUAUAACGGGGCUAAAGUAAGUACCGAAGCUGUAGACUUAGUUUACUAAGUGGUAGGAGAGCGUUCUAUUUGCGUCGAAGGUAUACCGGUAAGGAGUGCUGGAGCGAAUAGAAGUGAGCAUGCAGGCAUGAGUAGCGAUAAUUAAUGUGAGAAUCAUUAACGCCGUAAACCCAAGGUUUCCUACGCGAUGCUCGUCAUCGUAGGGUUAGUCGGGUCCUAAGUCGAGUCCGAAAGGGGUAGACGAUGGCAAAUUGGUUAAUAUUCCAAUACCAACAUUAGUGUGCGAUGGAAGGACGCUUAGGGCUAAGGGGGCUAGCGGAUGGAAGUGCUAGUCUAAGGUCGUAGGAGGUUAUACAGGCAAAUCCGUAUAACAAUACUCCGAGAACUGAAAGGCUUUUUGAAGUCUUCGGAUGGAUAGAAGAACCCCUGAUGCCGUCGAGCCAAGAAAAGUUUCUAAGUUUAGCUAAUGUUGCCCGUACCGUAAACCGACACAGGUGGGUGGGAUGAGUAUUCUAAGGCGCGUGGAAGAACUCUCUUUAAGGAACUCUGCAAAAUAGCACCGUAUCUUCGGUAUAAGGUGUGGUUAGCUUUGUAUUAGGAUUUACUCCGAAAGCAAGGAAACUUACAACAAAGAGUCCCUCCCGACUGUUUACCAAAAACACAGCACUCUGCUAACUCGUAAGAGGAUGUAUAGGGUGUGACGCCUGCCCGGUGCUCGAAGGUUAAUUGAUGGGGUUAGCAUUAGCGAAGCUCUUGAUCGAAGCCCGAGUAAACGGCGGCCGUAACUAUAACGGUCCUAAGGUAGCGAAAUUCCUUGUCGGUUAAAUACCGACCUGCAUGAAUGGCGUAACGAGAUGGGAGCUGUCUCAAAGAGGGAUCCAGUGAAAUUGUAGUGGAGGUGAAAAUUCCUCCUACCCGCGGCAAGACGGAAAGACCCCGUGGACCUUUACUACAGCUUGACACUGCUACUUGGAUAAGAAUGUGCAGGAUAGGUGGGAGGCUUUGAGUAUAUGACGCCAGUUGUAUAUGAGCCAUUGUUGAGAUACCACUCUUUCUUAUUUGGGUAGCUAACCAGCUUGAGUUAUCCUCAAGUGGGACAAUGUCUGGUGGGUAGUUUGACUGGGGCGGUCGCCUCCCAAAUAAUAACGGAGGCUUACAAAGGUUGGCUCAGAACGGUUGGAAAUCGUUCGUAGAGUAUAAAGGUAUAAGCCAGCUUAACUGCAAGACAUACAAGUCAAGCAGAGACGAAAGUCGGUCUUAGUGAUCCGGUGGUUCUGUGUGGAAGGGCCAUCGCUCAAAGGAUAAAAGGUACCCCGGGGAUAACAGGCUGAUCUCCCCCAAGAGCUCACAUCGACGGGGAGGUUUGGCACCUCGAUGUCGGCUCAUCGCAUCCUGGGGCUGGAGCAGGUCCCAAGGGUAUGGCUGUUCGCCAUUUAAAGCGGUACGCGAGCUGGGUUCAGAACGUCGUGAGACAGUUCGGUCCCUAUCUGCCGUGGGCGUAAGAAGAUUGAAGAGAUUUGACCCUAGUACGAGAGGACCGGGUUGAACAAACCACUGGUGUAGCUGUUGUUCUGCCAAGAGCAUCGCAGCGUAGCUAAGUUUGGAAAGGAUAAACGCUGAAAGCAUCUAAGCGUGAAGCCAACUCUAAGAUGAAUCUUCUCUAAGCUCUCUAGAAGACUACUAGUUUGAUAGGCUGGGUGUGUAAUGGAUGAAAGUCCUUUAGCUGACCAGUACUAAUAGAGCGUUUGGCUUAUCUUUAAUAAAGCAU